GGGGGCUGCGGCGGGGUGCUGCGCUGCACGGGGUAUGGCCGCGCGCCCAACACGUUAGCAGAAUUCGCGCUGAACCAGUUCAACUUUGCCAUUCAAAGGAGGAGACGAGCGAGGAGGCGACGAGCAUGGCAAAGGAGGAGCCGGACGCCAUGGAAGGGUGUAGAGAGGGAAGACGAAGAAGAAGAUGGAGGGUAUUUUGAUCUGUAAAUUUUAAAAAAUAUAUUGAAAGAGUAACUAGUGGUAUAUUUCUGUAAAUAUCGUGAAUAGUAAUAAUAUAUCUCCGAACUGCGAUAAUUGUAAUGGUAUAAGUCCAAUUAACUCUGUACAUAAUGAUCACUCUCAACCUCUACACAGCUAGUACGUGCGCAGCAUAAAACACUGACUCCACCAUUGUAACACUUGGAUUGCGAGAAACCUACUUCAAAAGCGACACCUCCAUGAAGAUGACGG
This 450-nucleotide long non-coding RNA is filed under the name Panicum hallii. Its description in RNAcentral is "long non-coding RNA (PHAL_LNC000077)". The record is from RNAcentral. Lineage: Eukaryota; Viridiplantae; Streptophyta; Magnoliopsida; Poales; Poaceae.